RNAcentral lists this ribosomal RNA (433 nucleotides) under uncultured bacterium. RNAcentral's name for it is "partial 16S ribosomal RNA". It matches the Rfam family "Bacterial small subunit ribosomal RNA", at positions 29 to 507 of the family's 1533-position model. The record is from RNAcentral.
AGCGAACGCUGGCGGCAGGCCUAACACAUGCAAGUCGAACGAACUCUUCGGAGUUAGUGGCGGACGGGUGAGUAACACGUGGGAACGUGCCUUUUGGUUCGGAAUAACUCAGGGAAACUUGUGCUAAUACCGAAUGUGCCCUUCGGGGGAAAGAUUUAUCGCCAUUAGAGCGGCCCGCGUCUGAUUAGCUAGUUGGUGAGGUGACGGCUCACCAAGGCGACGAUCAGUAGCUGGUCUGAGAGGAUGACCAGCCACACUGGGACUGAGACACGGCCCAGACUCCUACGGGAAGCAGCAGUGGGGAAUCUUGCGCAAUGGGCGAAAGCCUGACGCAGCCAUGCCGCGUGAAUGAUGAAGGUCUUAGGAUUGUAAAAUUCUUUCACCGGGGACGAUAAUGACGGUACCCGGAGAAGAAGCCCCGGCUAACUUCGUG